Molecule: long non-coding RNA, 2448 nt
Filed under: Salmo salar (Atlantic salmon)
Lineage: Eukaryota; Metazoa; Chordata; Actinopteri; Salmoniformes; Salmonidae
Description: lncRNA (ENSSSAG00000116651.1)
Source: RNAcentral
CUUAAACAAUGUCUACACUGUAUUUCUGAUCAAUUUGAUGUUAUUUUAAUGGACAAAAUGUUUUUCCUUUUCUUUCAAAAACAAGGACAUUUCUAAGUGUCCCCAAACUGUUGAACAGUAGUGUAACUAAACCAAAAUGGAACAUGCAGAAAAUACAUUUCUGAAGCAACAAAAUGAUACCUUGUUCACCCCCCCUCAAUAACCCAUAACGAAAAAGCCAAAACUGGUUUAGACAUUAAUUUAUUCAAAAUAAAAAACAGAAAUAACACAAUUACAUUAAGUAUUCAGACCCUUUUCUCAGUACUUUAUUGAAGCACCUUUGGCAGUGAUUACAGCCUCGAGUCUUCUUGGGUAUGACGCUACAAGCUUGGCACAUCUGUAUUUGGGGAGUUUCUCCCAUUCUUCGCUGCAGGUCCUUUCAAGCUCUGUCAGGUUGGAUGGGGAGUGUCGCUGCACAGCUAUUUUCAGGUCUCUCCAGAGAUGUUAGAUCGGAUUCAAGUCCGGGCUCUGACUGGGCCACUCAAGGACAUUCAGAGACUUGUCCGAAGGCCACUCCUGUGUUGUCUUGGUUGUGUGCUUAGGGUCGUUGUCCUGUUGGAAGGUGAACCUUCACCCCAGUCUGCGGUUCUGAGCGCUCUGGAACAGCUAGUACAGCCCCUAGUACCUUAGGUAGUACAGUAUAGCCUCAGCUAGUCCAGCCCCUAGUCCAGCAGGUAGUACAGUAUAGCCUCAGCUAGUCCAGCAGGUAGUCCAGCAGGUAGUACAGUAUAGCCUCAGCUAGUCCAGCAGGUAGUCCAGUAUAGCCUCAGCUAGUCCAGCUCCUAGUCCAGCAGGUAGUACAGUAUAGCCUCAGCUAGUCCAGCAGGUAGUCCAGUAUAGCCUCAGCUAGUCCAGCAGGUAGUACAGUAUAGCCUCAGCUAGUACAGCUCCUAGUCCAGCAGGUAGUACAGUAUAGCCUCAGCUAGUCCAGCAGGUAGUCCAGCAGGUAGUACAGUAUAGCCUCAGCUAGUCCAGCAGGUAGUCCAGCAGGUAGUACAGUAUAGCCUCAGCUAGUCCAGCUCCUAGUCCAGCAGGUAGUACAGUAUAGCCUCAGCUAGUCCAGCAGGUAGUACAGUAUAGCCUCAGCUAGUCCAGCUCCUAGUCCAGCAGGUAGUCCAGUAUAGCCUCAGCUAGUCCAGCUCCUAGUCCAGCAGGUAGUACAGUAUAGCCUCAGCUAGUCCAGCAGGUAGUACUGUAUAGCCUCAGCUAGUCAGCCCCUAGUCCAGUAUAGCCUCAGCUAGUCAGCCCCUAGUCCAGCAGGUAGUUGGUUUUGAGAGAGAGCCUUGACAGAAUGAUAACCACGCCACAGAACUGUAUACAUUUAUCAAUGAUACAUGUUCCAACUCGGGUCCCUUGACACAGAGGCAAGUACGCUAACCCCAAGAUAGACAACUCUAGAGCUUCUCCCUAACCCUUAACCCUAACCGCUUAACCCUAACCCCAAGAUAGACAACUCUAGAGCUUCUCCCUAACCCUUAACCCUAACCCCAAGAUAGACAACUCUAGAGCUAACCCUAAACCUUAACCCUAACCCCAAGAUAGACAACUCUAGAGCUUCUCCCUAACCCUAACCCUUAACCCUAACCCUUAACCCUAACCCCAAGAUAGACAACUCUAGAGCUACUCCCUAACCCUUAACCCCUAACCCCUAACCCUUAACCCUAACCCCAAGAUAGACAACUCUAGAGCUAACCCUAACCCUUAACCCUAACCCCUAACCCUAACCCCUAACCCCAAGAUAGACAACUCUAGAGCUAACCCUAACCCUUAACCCCCCUAACCCCUAACCCUAACCCCUAACCCCAAGAUAGACAACUCUAGAGCUUCUGAAAGGUUGUUCUAGUGUGGAUAUGAAUGGAGGCUAUGGUCAUAACAGAGAACAGAAAAACAUGGAUGUCUGAGAGUAGUUGUUCUGCUGGUCAGGGAAGGCAAUAGAUUGUAUAGUUAUCUUCUGAUCAGGGUAAAAUCACUACCCCACAACAAUACAAUCUACUACCUCACAACGCCUCAGCAGAUAGACAAUGACUUCAUAAUGUUGACGAUGUACCUUGAUGAUUUCUUCCUGUUCGUUCUCAAAACACCACAGCAAAUACGAUCAGAAUAGAAUCUUUUACAAUGACCAUAAGAGGAGAUUGACUGUAGUAUCCUUGGUGAUUGACACAUUGAGAAAGACAGUAGGUUGUACAGUUAUCUCCCAGUGUGGGUGUGACCCUAAAACUAUCCAACCUACUACCUCAUCCCACUGAGCUGAGGAACCUGGAGAGGAACCUGGAGAGGAACCUGGAGAGGAACCUGGAGAGGAACCUGGUCUGAUCCACCUCACAGCAUCUGUUGAGAGAGAGACUGGAUAGUAAUACUGCCACUUUUAGGAUCAAUUCCAUCAUAUCAAACAAACAAAAAAUUUUUUUU